GCUUACCAUGCAGUCGAACGAUGAACCGCUUUCGGGCGGGGAUUAGUGGCGAACGGGUGAGUAACACGUGGGCAAUCUGCCCUGCACUCUGGGACAAGCCCUGGAAACGGGGUCUAAUACCGGAUAUGACUGUCUGCCGCAUGGUGGAUGGUGUAAAGCUCCGGCGGUGCAGGAUGAGCCCGCGGCCUAUCAGCUUGUUGGUGAGGUAGUGGCUCACCAAGGCGACGACGGGUAGCCGGCCUGAGAGGGCGACCGGCCACACUGGGACUGAGACACGGCCCAGACUCCUACGGGAGGCAGCAGUGGGGAAUAUUGCACAAUGGGCGAAAGCCUGAUGCAGCGACGCCGCGUGAGGGAUGACGGCCUUCGGGUUGUAAACCUCUUUCAGCAGGGAAGAAGCGAAAGUGACGGUACCUGCAGAAGAAGCGCCGGCUAACUACGUGCCAGCAGCCGCGGUAAUACGUAGGGCGCAAGCGUUGUCCGGAAUUAUUGGGCGUAAAGAGCUCGUAGGCGGCUUGUCACGUCGGUUGUGAAAGCCCGGGGCUUAACCCCGGGUCUGCAGUCGAUACGGGCAGGCUAGAGUUCGGUAGGGGAGAUCGGAAUUCCUGGUGUAGCGGUGAAAUGCGCAGAUAUCAGGAGGAACACCGGUGGCGAAGGCGGAUCUCUGGGCCGAUACUGACGCUGAGGAGCGAAAGCGUGGGGAGCGAACAGGAUUAGAUACCCUGGUAGUCCACGCCGUAAACGGUGGGCACUAGGUGUGGGCAACAUUCCACGUUGUCCGUGCCGCAGCUAACGCAUUAAGUG
Molecule: ribosomal RNA, 804 nt
Filed under: Streptomyces violascens
Lineage: Bacteria; Bacillati; Actinomycetota; Actinomycetes; Kitasatosporales; Streptomycetaceae
Description: bacterial SSU rRNA
Rfam family: Bacterial small subunit ribosomal RNA
Source: RNAcentral